RNAcentral lists this ribosomal RNA (468 nucleotides) under uncultured bacterium. RNAcentral describes it as "partial 16S ribosomal RNA". It matches the Rfam family "Bacterial small subunit ribosomal RNA", at positions 28 to 507 of the family's 1533-position model. The record is from RNAcentral.
GACGAACGCUGGCGGCGUGCUUAACACAUGCAAGUCGAACGGAAAGGCCCUGCUUUUGUGGGGUGCUCGAGUGGCGAACGGGUGAGUAACACGUGAGUAACCUGCCCUUGACUUUGGGAUAACUUCAGGAAACUGGGGCUAAUACCGGAUAGGAGCUCCUGCUGCAUGGUGGGGGUUGGAAAGUUUCGGCGGUUGGGGAUGGACUCGCGGCUUAUCAGCUUGUUGGGGGGGUAGUGGCUUACCAAGGCUUUGACGGGUAGCCGGCCUGGGAGGGUGACCGGCCACAAUGGGACUGAGAUACGGCCCAGACUCCUACGGGAGGCAGCAGUGGGGAAUAUUGCACAAUGGGCGGAAGCCUGAUGCAGCAACGCCGCGUGCGGGAUGACGGCCUUCGGGUUGUAAACCGCUUUCGCCUGUGACGAAGCGUGAGUGACGGUAAUGGGUAAAGAAGCACCGGCUAACUACGUG